This 395-nucleotide unclassified non-coding RNA is filed under the name uncultured fungus. Its description in RNAcentral is "sequence contains ITS1". The record is from RNAcentral. Lineage: Eukaryota; Fungi.
CGCUCGCCGCUCUUCGGUUGGAAGAUCGCCGCGACCAGCGCCGCAGGUCAGGCCCACAUCAAUGUCGACGGCCCGCUCGCGGGAAGGCUGCUCCGCGAAAAGGCGUUUGCGAGCGGCGCUGUGCUGCCGCUUGGCGCGAACCACAUGCGGGUCGCCGAGCCGGAAUUCGCUUUUCGGAUGGCGCGCGACCUUCUGCCGCGCGCAGCGCCCUAUUCUGUCGCUGAAGUCGCCGACGCGAUCGGCGCACUGCAUCCGGCGAUCGAGAUCCCGGAUUCCCGCUACGAGGAUUUCUGCGCCGUCGGCGUGGCGCAGCUCAUCGCCGACAAUGCCUGCGCGCAUCUCUUCGUGCUCGGCGACCCGGCACCCGACAUCUGGCACGAGGUGGAUCUUCGCGC